AGUGAACGCUAGCGAUAUGCUUUAACACAUGGCGAGUGCGGGACGUUAUUUGACGUAGCGUACAGGUGAGGAAGCUGUGGGUUACCUCCUUAAAAACUUUGGUACUGAAUGGAAAAAAAUUUAUUUUUUUCCAAAAAUAGUUUUAUUUUAAAAUGCCAAAUAAAAAGAUAUGUUCGGUUUUUGUAAGGGGCUCAUGGAGGAUUAGGUUGUUGGGUUGGGUAAGAGCCGUCCAAGCCGAUGAUCCUUGGCCGGUCUGGGAGGAUGGUCGGUCACACCGGGACUGUAAAAGGCCCGGACUUUUUUUAAAGGCUGCAGUUGAGGAAUAUUGGACAAUGGGCAAAAGCUUGAUCCAGCAAUAUCGCGUAGGUGAAGAAGGUCAAUUGGUUGUUAAAGCCUUUCGUAUGGUGAGAAUAAUGUUAGUAGCCAUAUAAGAAGUUCCUGGCUAACUUCGUGCCAGCCGCCGCGGUAAAAC
This 472-nucleotide ribosomal RNA is filed under the name uncultured bacterium. RNAcentral describes it as "partial 16S ribosomal RNA". It matches the Rfam family "Bacterial small subunit ribosomal RNA", at positions 29 to 526 of the family's 1533-position model. The record is from RNAcentral.